Molecule: ribosomal RNA, 524 nt
Filed under: uncultured Hanseniaspora
Lineage: Eukaryota; Fungi; Ascomycota; Saccharomycetes; Saccharomycodales; Saccharomycodaceae
Description: eukaryotic LSU rRNA
Rfam family: Eukaryotic large subunit ribosomal RNA
Source: RNAcentral
AAACCAACUGGGAUUACCUUAGUAACGGCGAGUGAAGCGGUAAAAGCUCAAAUUUGAAAUCUGGUACUUUCAGUGCCCGAGUUGUAAUUUGUAGAAUUUGUCUUUGAUUAGGUCCUUGUCUAUGUUCCUUGGAACAGGACGUCAUAGAGGGUGAGAAUCCCGUUUGGCGAGGAUACCUUUUCUCUGUAAGACUUUUUCGAAGAGUCGAGUUGUUUGGGAAUGCAGCUCAAAGUGGGUGGUAAAUUCCAUCUAAAGCUAAAUAUUGGCGAGAGACCGAUAGCGAACAAGUACAGUGAUGGAAAGAUGAAAAGAACUUUGAAAAGAGAGUGAAAAAGUACGUGAAAUUGUUGAAAGGGAAGGGCAUUUGAUCAGACAUGGUGUUUUUGCAUGCACUCGCCUCUCGUGGGCUUGGGCCUCUCAAAAUUUCACUGGGCCAACAUCAAUUUUGGCGGCAGGAAAAAUCUUUGGAAUGUAGCUACCUCGGUAGUGUUGUAGCUUUUUGGAAUACUGCCAGCUGGGAUUGA